RNAcentral lists this ribosomal RNA (115 nucleotides) under Diaphorina citri (Asian citrus psyllid). Lineage: Eukaryota; Metazoa; Arthropoda; Insecta; Hemiptera; Psyllidae. The record is from RNAcentral.
UAACGUGACGGUAGUACGUUAAAUGCAGUUUCCAAUGGACCACGAAAGUUAAGCAACGUUUUGCGUGGUUAAUAUCCGGAUGGGUGACCAUCUGGGAAAUCGGGUGUUACUGGAA